This is a long non-coding RNA of Brassica rapa (field mustard), 710 nucleotides long. RefSeq lists it as uncharacterized. The record is from RefSeq and is a predicted model, not a curated record. NCBI's taxonomy places the organism in Eukaryota, Viridiplantae, Streptophyta, Magnoliopsida, Brassicales, Brassicaceae.
AAACAAAGGUGUACGACUCUAUAUGAGUAAAUACGAAAUCAGAAUCUCGAAAUCUGCCGGUAUACCAUCAUUUACUCUCUCAUUAUCUUACGAUUCAUCUACUUGAUCUGAGAAGCCUCUUUAUAGAUAUGUUCAGAAGUAUCAGAUGACUUGUAUGUUGAUUCUGAUGAUCGAUCUUAGUCAAGCGGAUCUUCGAUUAGCACUGAAUUUGACCAUUCCCUAUUGGGGUCGGAAACACCUAAGCAAUCUCGAGCUUCUCAGAUGUCAAGCUCGUGAUGUCCAUCGGCUUGCUCAAAAUCUGAAGGGCGAUGUUCAUUUCUUUGACAACCAUGAAGUUGGCCUAAUGAAAUUUUGGGUUACUAUAUAAAAUUUGGGGUUACGUUAAAGUGAGGGCUUAUCAAAGGUCUUAUACUUUGCAAAAUGAUGAUCCGGUCUGUUUGCAAAAAAAAAAAGGAUGACUGAUUAAAAUACACAGAUACGUACCUUACUCAAGCAAUAUAGAAUUUUUAUGUCACAUAAUAAAUAAUUCAAGUACGUACACUUUUUGGUUUGUUCUGACGUUAAUGUUUUAAGUUUUGUAGGGUAAUUGCUAUGUAAACAAAGAGAUAAUUCUCAAGUACAUCAACUAAUGGCCAGACCAUUUUGUAAUCUGACCAAACUGGUAUAAUCUAUUUAUCUUCAUCCUCUUUUACGUCUAGUAUGUUUUUUUA